Oncorhynchus mykiss (rainbow trout) is the source of this 1252-nucleotide non-coding RNA. The record is from RefSeq and is a predicted model, not a curated record. NCBI's taxonomy places the organism in Eukaryota, Metazoa, Chordata, Actinopteri, Salmoniformes, Salmonidae.
UGUGAGGUGCUGAACCUCAUUGGCUGGAACAUGAAUUGCUAGGGGGCUGGCCCAUGUGGGGGAACAUGUAAGGAAAAUGGCACUGCACAGCUUCCAGUAAACAGUCACUUUCAAACUACGGAUUUCGUAGCUAAUUGAGGUAAAAAAGUCAUUCUUCUCAUAGAUUAUGCAUGUAUGAACUACACAUUCAUGUCCUUAAAUGCUGCUAGGGACCAGGUCAUAUGACUGAGGCAUAUGACUGACUAAGGCACACUCACUCCUAAGCCUGGCUCAUGCGCUUGCUUAAUCUCGUUGGCCGAGAGAGCACUCUGUAGGGCUGACCCAUUCAUAACCGAACUGCAUGUUAGAAACCCCAUAAAAACACUUCUUCCUCAAUCAAUCCGGUUAACAAUAUUUUAAAGAAGCUUGAGAUUUUUUUAGAUACCGUUACGUCCCAAUGUAACAGCACAAAAAAGCACAAACACAAAAACUCUUAUCCCCACAAAACCCCUCCCGUUCAGUUCUCACACAUCUGGUGAGGCAAUAGUGCUGAAUCACCAUGACUGUAGAGAGCCUUAAAGGUACAGGCGUGUGCACACACACCCUUGUCUGCGUCUCAUUGGUGACAGUCGCGAGGGUGCAUGAAUGAAAUGAGAGAAUAGAAGAAAAUAAAAGGAAAGUUAACGUGCUUCCUGAUUGUAGCUGCGAGCAAGAAUGGACUUGGAAGCUCCAAAUACCACUCGUCAUCAUCAGCACACAGCUCCUCUUAAUUUUCUCCAUUUGGUGACCCACAGGACUUUCACAGAGUCGCUGUCUCUCAGCUAGGGAUAUCUGCAGAAAGGCUUUCUUGAUGUCUGCCAUGCGAUCUGCGAUCUCGUGCAGUCUGAACUGUAGUCGUCUCGGGUUCUAGUCGUUUGUGUUUUCAUGGUAACUCCACAUGGUAUCGUACAUCAUUGGUGCCUACACCGACGAUCCAAAAGUGGUCUCUAAAGCAACUAGCAUCUCUGUUAGUCUCUCCACUUUGCUGGAUACUAUCUGCCAGUAGUAGUCUGCUCCGAUCAGGACAGAGAGUUCAGGAUCAUCACCUCCUGUAAAGUCUGCGAGCAGCAGUCCUUUCCUCUUGAGCUCAUGUUGAAUCUGCUCACCAAACUUUCCUCAAGGCUGUGCAUCUUUUAGUAAUAAUACUUGUUCACGUAAAAGUGUAACACAUUAGAUCAUACCAAACAAUAAAAUAACUUUGCUAGCACAAGCCAGGCUAAUCACUUGGCAGUAA